Molecule: ribosomal RNA, 253 nt
Filed under: uncultured bacterium
Lineage: Bacteria
Description: partial 16S ribosomal RNA
Rfam family: Bacterial small subunit ribosomal RNA
Source: RNAcentral
UACAGAGGUCUCAAGCGUUGUUCGGAUUCAUUGGGCGUAAAGGGCGCGUAGGCGGCGAGGUAAGUCGGGUGUGAAAUCUCAGAGCUCAACUCUGAAACUGCACUCGAUACUGCUUUGCUAGAGGACUGGAGAGGAGAUUGGAAUUCACGGUGUAGCAGUGAAAUGCGUAGAGAUCGUGAGGAAGACCAGUGGCGAAGGCGGAUCUCUGGACAGUUCCUGACGCUGAGGCGCGAAAGCCAGGGGAGCAAACGGG